This 395-nucleotide ribosomal RNA is filed under the name uncultured Alphaproteobacteria bacterium. RNAcentral's name for it is "bacterial SSU rRNA". It matches the Rfam family "Bacterial small subunit ribosomal RNA", at positions 955 to 1371 of the family's 1533-position model. The record is from RNAcentral. Lineage: Bacteria; Pseudomonadati; Pseudomonadota; Alphaproteobacteria.
AGCAACGCGCAGAACCUUACCAACCCUUGACAUGGGUAUCGCGGGACCGGAGACGGUUCUUUCAGUUCGGCUGGAUACCACACAGGUGCUGCAUGGCUGUCGUCAGCUCGUGUCGUGAGAUGUUCGGUUAAGUCCGGCAACGAGCGCAACCCACACUCUUAGUUGCCAGCAUUCAGUUGGGCACUCUAGGAGAACUGCCGGUGAUAAGCCGGAGGAAGGUGUGGAUGACGUCAAGUCCUCAUGGCCCUUACGGGUUGGGCUACACACGUGCUACAAUGGUGGUGACAAUGGGCCAAUCCCAAAAAGCCAUCUCAGUUCGGAUUGGGGUCUGCAACUCGACCCCAUGAAGUCGGAAUCGCUAGUAAUCGCGUAACAGCAUGACGCGGUGAAUACGU